GGGGUUGUGGUUCAGUGGUAGAGCACUUGCCUAGCAUGUGUGAGGCACUGGGUUCAAUCCCCAGCACCA
RNAcentral lists this transfer RNA (69 nucleotides) under Ictidomys tridecemlineatus (thirteen-lined ground squirrel). Its description in RNAcentral is "Spermophilus tridecemlineatus (thirteen-lined ground squirrel) tRNA". It matches the Rfam family "tRNA". Rfam says of the family: Transfer RNA (tRNA) molecules are approximately 80 nucleotides in length. Their secondary structure includes four short double-helical elements and three loops (D, anti-codon, and T loops). RNAcentral also lists the same sequence under 1 other name. The record is from Rfam by way of RNAcentral. Lineage: Eukaryota; Metazoa; Chordata; Mammalia; Rodentia; Sciuridae.